RNAcentral lists this unclassified non-coding RNA (1370 nucleotides) under Rhizobium sp. M20. Its description in RNAcentral is "partial contains 16S ribosomal RNA, 16S-23S ribosomal RNA intergenic spacer, and 23S ribosomal RNA". The stretch from base 290 to 363 matches the Rfam family "tRNA". Lineage: Bacteria; Pseudomonadati; Pseudomonadota; Alphaproteobacteria; Hyphomicrobiales; Rhizobiaceae. The record is from RNAcentral.
GACUGGUAGACGCCGGAUUUAUUCCGGAUGAACCUUCCCGUGCUUUUUAGAACAAGAUUGGCCAGUCAGGCCGAUCGAAACACAUACGCUGUGAGAUGUGCCUUCGGGUACACCGCAGUAUGGCGGAUUACCGCCGUCCACGUUUCUCUUUCUCGAUUAGGAUAUGUCCUCACGGCGGUGCCGCGAUCUUUGAUCGCUCGCCUCCGGACGGGGCGCCGGACGACCGGCGUGGGGCUUUGCCCCUGUUUGGCGGUCUGAUCGGACUUUAGGAUCGGCGCUUUACCCAAUUGGGCCCGUAGCUCAGUCGGUUAGAGCACACGCUUGAUAAGCGUGGGGUCGGUAGUUCGAGUCUACCCGGGCCCACCAUAUUUUACUGCGGUCUCUGAUCGAAAGCCGGCAAGGCUUUCGCAAGGCCAAGGGCUGCCGGCGCUGGUGCGCCGCCCCUGUGGAGCGCUUUGCGCGUGAACGCAUAAAAAUUGGGGCUGUAGCUCAGCUGGGAGAGCACCUGCUUUGCAAGCAGGGGGUCAGCGGUUCGAUCCCGCUCAGCUCCACCAAAUAUUUUGUGCUGACGCUGUCGCGAUCGUCGAUCGCUGCGCUCCGCACGCGCCGCCGCAUAGCCGGCGUGGUCCUCUGGACCUGUUUGGUGGAAGACGGAAUAUCCUUUGAGAGAAAUAAAAGUUUGCACCGGCUUUCGAGCCUGGUGCCUGUUCUGAUUACAUUGUGAAGAGAAGAUAUGUCUGGAAGCUUCCAGGUGUUGAGGAUGGUGACCGCAAGGUUGCUGUUUUUGACGUCCGAGCCCAGUCCUGUUCAAGCUGCGUGAGGGUCUAGCCGAUCCGAAGCAGACCAGGGGCUGGAGGUAGGAAGGGAGCUUGUUACUCAAGACAUGUGUGUUGUUGAUGGUUUGAGCCAUUGAAACUUCGGAUCCGCAAGGAUUUGGAGAUUUUGGUGUUUCCGGUCAUCUCUGACGGCAUGUCGAUGGGCGUUGCCUGACCGCGCGCUCCCGGACAGAUCUCGAGAAGCUGGUCUUAAGACCUGGCCCUGAAGUGCACCGGCGUGCCUUCGUAUAGGGAUCAGGUCGAACACGUCGAUGGCAUCAUUCAAAGGAUGGGUUGUAAAAGGUAACCCGUUCGUUUGUUCGUCCUUUAUCGUUAGGGACGCGCAGCCCAUCAGCGGCAAUCGCAAGGUUGUCCGGAUGGCCGGAUUUGGCACCCCUCAAGCGUAUGCGAAGAGGAGAAGGUUUGCCAAAUCAAACAGAUGAUGAGCAUUGGCAAUGAGAACGAUCAAGUGAAAGAAGGGCAUUUGGUGGAUGCCUUGGCAUGCACAGGCGAUGAAGGACGUGAUACGCUGCGAUAAGCCGUGGGGAGCUGCGA